GUCUUCCACCUGUUUCCCAGCCCGUGUGUCACCUGCCUCUUGUUGUCUCAUUAUCAUCUGUAUGUAGUCUUGGUGUUCCCCUUGUCCAUUGUCAGAUCAUUGUUUGUGUGUGUGUGUUCUUGUCGCCUCUCCC
This is a long non-coding RNA of Etheostoma spectabile (orangethroat darter), 133 nucleotides long. RefSeq lists it as uncharacterized. NCBI's taxonomy places the organism in Eukaryota, Metazoa, Chordata, Actinopteri, Perciformes, Percidae. The transcript is spliced from 4 exons. The record is from RefSeq and is a predicted model, not a curated record.